UACAGAGGUGGCAAGCGUUGAUCGGAUUCAUUGGGCUUAGAGCGCGUGUAGGCGGCUUCGCAAGUACUUGGUGAAAUGCCCCGGCUUAACCGGGGACCCGCCUGGUAUACUGCGGGGCUUGAGGCAGGUAGAGGCGCCUGGAACUCUAGGUGGAGCGGUGAAAUGCGUAGAUAUCUAGGGGAACGCCAGUGGCGAAAGCGGGGCGCUGGGUCUGUCCUGACGCUGAGAUGCGAAAGCGUGGGGAGCAAACGGG
Molecule: ribosomal RNA, 253 nt
Filed under: uncultured bacterium
Lineage: Bacteria
Description: partial 16S ribosomal RNA
Rfam family: Bacterial small subunit ribosomal RNA
Source: RNAcentral